Molecule: ribosomal RNA, 254 nt
Filed under: uncultured bacterium
Lineage: Bacteria
Description: partial 16S ribosomal RNA
Rfam family: Bacterial small subunit ribosomal RNA
Source: RNAcentral
UACGGAGGGUGCAAACGUUGCUCGGAAUCAUUGGGCGUAAAGCGCACGUAGGCGGCGGCAUAAGCGGAAUGUGAAAGCCCAGGGCUCAACCCUGGAAGUGCAUCCCGAACUGUGUCGCUUGAAUCUCGGAGGGGGACAGAGAAUUCCCGGUGUAGAGGUGAAAUUCGUAGAUAUCGGGAGGAAUACCAGUGGCGAAGGCGCUGUCCUGGACGAAGAUUGACGCUGAGGUGCGAAAGCGCGGGGAGCAAACAGGG